UGCCAGCAGCCGCGGUAAUACGGGGGGGACAAGCGUUAUUCGGAAUUACUGGGCGUAAAGGGCGCGUAGGUGGCUUGGUCAGUGAGAAGUGAAAGCCCUCGGCUUAACCGGGGAACUGCUUCUCAUACUGCUGAGCUAGAGUGUGGGAGAGGAGAAUAGAAUUUCCGGUGGAGCGGUGAAAUGCGUAGAGAUCGGAAGGAACACCAGUGGCGAAGGCGAUUCUCUGGACCACAACUGACGCUGAGGCGCGAAAGCGUGGGGAGCAAACAGGAUUAGAUA
Molecule: ribosomal RNA, 279 nt
Filed under: uncultured bacterium
Lineage: Bacteria
Description: partial 16S ribosomal RNA
Rfam family: Bacterial small subunit ribosomal RNA
Source: RNAcentral